UUGGCUACAUGGAUGGCAUACAAAUUGUUGAGGAAAGUUUAUUUUCGUUUUGUGCUCCAUGCUGUUGUUGAUUUCCUUUCGCAUUCGGGGGAAUUCAAUUUUUCAAAAACACAGAAGAACAACCAAGACAAAUAAUUCUAAAUUUUAUGAUGAAAUUUUGAUGAAGGCUGUGUUGUGGCCAAUGUGAUGUGGGACGGGGGACGUUUCGUUUAAUGUGAGAUUUAUCGUUUUGUCGUGAUACUGCGUUAAAUUGCGAACAAUUAAUUGCAUUAAUAAUGGCAGCAAACAGACACACAUACACAUGGCCUAAGUGGGGCUACCCAUCAUCCCACACAAACACCUCACACGCAACUGUAGGAGCAGCCAAACGAGGCGGCUAUCUGAUACAUGCACAAAUAUCUACAACACAAUACAAUACAAAGGCACUAUCAUGCAAAUUGAAUAUUGUGGGGAGGUGAGUAAAUAAAGCAAAUUAUGAUGCGCCAUUGGGGAGAGAGAGAGCACGAGC
This is a long non-coding RNA of Stomoxys calcitrans (stable fly), 508 nucleotides long. RefSeq lists it as uncharacterized. The transcript has 3 exons. The record is from RefSeq and is a predicted model, not a curated record. Lineage: Eukaryota; Metazoa; Arthropoda; Insecta; Diptera; Muscidae.